AUCCAGUUGAUGAGUCCCAAAUAGGGUGGAACGAGGGUCCUGGAU
Molecule: non-coding RNA, 45 nt
Filed under: Schistosoma mattheei
Lineage: Eukaryota; Metazoa; Platyhelminthes; Trematoda; Strigeidida; Schistosomatidae
Source: RNAcentral